UGUUGACAAUCCUUCAGGGAGUCUGGGUCCAGGUAAAUCACAGACACAGUGUGUACUGACUGUGCUGCUGCCCAGAGGCUGUGGGCUGACCGUGCUGUCCCGGAGCAGGCCAACAUCAAAGCCGUUGAUCCAGAGGAGCCUGAGGCUACAAGCAGCCAAGAGCUCUGAUCAACAGAGGAGAUGCAAAAUGAUCCGACUGUUCUCCACUAACACUGAAGCCUGUGAGCUGAAAAGGACACAAAGCAUCUCUAAAGGGUAUCCUUGAAAGUUCGUGAAUUUGAGAAAAAAAAUUGAGGCCUUGAAAGUUUUUGAAAACAGGCGUAAAGAGGGACAUGGGUUAUUGAAAGUGCUUGAAUUGAUAUAUUCUGUGCAAAAAGAGAUUGAAGUUCUUCUGAUGUUUUUCUUUACUCAUCAUUAGUAAAUAGGCUGUGUGUCACUGUCUGCAUGUGUGCAAGAGGCCACAAUCUGCCAUCACUGUAUCAAAGCACAGCGAAGAAGUGUUCACACAUUCAAGCUUUCUCUCUUUUUAAUUGUUGUCUGUGAGCUUCUGUAAAUCCUUCUAUAGCUCUCAUUAUAAAAAAUUCUUUGUGUUGUAGCAGUGAUUAACCUUGAUCUGUGUCUCAAACUGUGCUGUGCUGGGUCCUUCAAUUUGAGGAGUCCUUGAAAAGUCCAUGAAUUUGAUGUAUAAGACAGAAAUUUAAAAGUACUUGAUUCAGAAAAAUUCCCCCUGUGAGUGUUAUAUUAUUUUAUGUGAUAUUACUGGAUUAUUACUGAUGUAUUCAUGUAUCAAUAUCAUAUUACUGUUGUAGUUGGCUGAGGUGGAGCUGAUUUUAAGUACUUGUAAUCUGUUGGUUUUAUCUUUAACAUUACAUCACAUGUUAAGCUCAUAGGAUUUCUAUGGAAAAUCAUAAUUUCUAAAGCCACUAGUAUCUAUAGUUGUCAAAUCAAGGUAAUGGAGCAGAAGUGUAGAGUGCACGAAAUGGAAACUUUCAAGUACAAGAACAAAAGCUUCAGUUAAGUAAAUUGAGGUCAUUUCCACUUUUCUGAACGGCUUUUCUGUGAAUAUUGAUUAUAUUUCAAGGAUGUCAAAUUCAUUUUGCAUUUUUAGAAUCAGUGACGAGUCAGAAAUGCACAUUUUGUUGCAUGCAAAAUUCAUGUAACUGUGAAGGUUCAAUAGAAAAGUGUUUUUUAAAUGUAUUUCUGUGGAAUAUGUUCCUGGCAUAUCUAUGUGACUGCUCAACUAACAAUUAAAAAACUGAUGAAUGGGUGAGUAUGAGUGUGAUGAGUUCAGAGCUUAACACAGCAAACUAAACUCCUGAGUAACUCAGUAA
This is a long non-coding RNA of Seriola aureovittata, 1331 nucleotides long. RefSeq lists it as uncharacterized. NCBI's taxonomy places the organism in Eukaryota, Metazoa, Chordata, Actinopteri, Carangiformes, Carangidae. The record is from RefSeq and is a predicted model, not a curated record. The transcript has 3 exons.